Molecule: long non-coding RNA, 672 nt
Organism: Alexandromys fortis (reed vole)
Lineage: Eukaryota; Metazoa; Chordata; Mammalia; Rodentia; Cricetidae
Exons: 2
Source: RefSeq, a predicted model, not a curated record
GCGGGCGCCCCCCAGGCACCCACACCCCGGAACCCCCGGGGACCGCUCCAGGAGGCGGCAGUAGCGCCUCCAGCUCCACCAUCACACGCCCCAACCGCUCCAGACGGCCCAGCGCGGGCGGCAACGAAAAUGUGGGCACCAGGCCUGAAGUCAGUCUUGCAAAGAGGUCGCAGUGGGCACGCAGCUGGAGAGCUGGAACUCUAAGCUCUACAGGGUGCCGGGGCAUCAAAAGCUGGAAUUCUUGACCUUGACUGCGCCUUGUCAGGAGAAAUCUGUAGAGGCUGCUCUGUGUCAAGCGGUGGUUGGAAGGAGCAGAUCUGUGCCAAAGUGAGGAAAUGCAGCUGCCAAAACCUUGUAGAAAAACCUUAAGUGCUCACAAGCAUCGAGCUCCAGAAGUCUCCAAAUCCCAGAACUUCCCUGCCACCGAAUCCUAGAAAUUAAACCCGACACUGUUGGCUUCAGGAAAACUGGGCACUUCAGAACUCAGUGAUAAGGAUCCCUAUUUUCCAUCUUUGUGAUCCUGGGCAAGUUGCAGCUCCAUUUUCCUUCUCGGUAUAAUAGCAAUACAGUAAUGAUGAAGUGGACCCCAAAGGGAGCGUAUUGUUUGGGGAAAUGUUCGGCUCUGUGGCUGGAAUGUGGAAAAUUCUACAUAAAUGUUGGCUACCAAAAGUA